This 495-nucleotide ribosomal RNA is filed under the name uncultured bacterium. RNAcentral describes it as "partial 16S ribosomal RNA". It matches the Rfam family "Bacterial small subunit ribosomal RNA", at positions 28 to 507 of the family's 1533-position model. The record is from RNAcentral.
GACGAACGCUGGCGGCGUGCCUAAUACAUGCAAGUAGAACGCUGAAGGAGGAGCUUGCUUCUCUGGAUGAGUUGCGAACGGGUGAGUAACGCGUAGGUAACCUGCCUGGUAGCGGGGGAUAACUUUUGGAAACGAUAGCUAAUACCGCAUAACAGUAGAUAUCGCAUGAUAUCUACUUGAAAGGUGCAAUUGCAUCACUACCAGAUGGACCUGCGUUGUAUUAGCUAGUUGGUGAGGUAACGGCUCACCAAGGCGACGAUACAUAGCCGACCUGUGAGGGGGGGCGGCCACACUGGGACUGAGACACGGCCCAGACGCCUACGGGAAGCAGCAGUAGGGAAUCUGCGGCAAUGGACGGAAGUCUGACCGAGCAACGCCGCGGGAGGGAAGAAGGUUGUCGGAUCGUAAAGCUCUGUUGUAAGAGAAGAACGAGUGUGAGAGUGGAAAGUUCACACUGUGACGGUAUCUGACCAGAAAGGGACGGCUAACUACGUG